This 610-nucleotide unclassified non-coding RNA is filed under the name Hevea brasiliensis (rubber tree). The record is from RNAcentral. Lineage: Eukaryota; Viridiplantae; Streptophyta; Magnoliopsida; Malpighiales; Euphorbiaceae.
UAAAUAUAUAUAUAUAUAUAUACUAUAAUAAAAUAUUCUCAAAUUGAUAUUAAUUAUCACUCUAACCAUCGUGCUAUAAUGUUAUCAGGCACCCAGUUAAACAGCAAUGAUGGUUAAACUGUUGAUAGAGCCGCGGACGAUGGAUAAAUAUUCUCACACUGAGAGGCUUAUAGACUGGCAUUCUCCAGAUUCAGGGGGGUGUAAAAUCAACAUUGAUGGUUUUAAUACAGGAGGGUUGCUUAGAGAUCAUACAGGGACUUGGAAAGGUGUCUUUACUAUGAACAUUGGUCAUCAUUCUGUAACUGCAACAGAACUACAGGAAGUUCAUCAAGGACCUACAAAUUGCAUAGGAGAAGGGCUUCAAUAAAUGCAAUGUGGAAGUUGACAGCUUGAGUUGUUAAUAUAUAUGAUCUUCGAUAAAAAUCAAACAUCCACAAAAAUUGAAUUUUAAUUCACAGCAUUCAUCAAAGGGAUUAAGAGGAAAGUUCAACACAUCUAUCAGGAGAUCAAAUCAUACAAAUAAUUGGCUUGCCAUUUAUGAGAAUGAUUCCUCCUAAAGUUCCUAAAAUUGAAGUUCUCUGGAUAUAUAGUUCUCUCUCUCUCUCUCUCU